UACAGAGGGUGCAAGCGUUGUUCGGAAUUACUGGGCGUAAAGCGCGCGUAGGUGGCUAUGCAAGUCCUGUGUGAAAGCCUCAGGCUCAACCUGAGAGGGUCAUGGGAAACUACAUAGCUGGAGUAUGGGAGAGGAGAGUGGAAUUCCCGGUGUAGAGGUGAAAUUCGUAGAUAUCGGGAGGAACACCAGAGGCGAAAGCGGCUCUCUGGCCCAUUACUGACACUCUGGCGCGAAAGCGUGGGUAGCAAACAGG
RNAcentral lists this ribosomal RNA (253 nucleotides) under uncultured bacterium. RNAcentral describes it as "partial 16S ribosomal RNA". It matches the Rfam family "Bacterial small subunit ribosomal RNA", at positions 524 to 776 of the family's 1533-position model. The record is from RNAcentral.